UGAAAGUGAUAACGUAGACCAUAAUUUUCCAGGAAUUAUCCCAGAAAGGCAGAAAGUUCAAAUUUUGAAAUUAGUAAUUACCUUAUGUGCUUUGGUGAGUCUAUUAUCUAGCGUUUUACAAGUUACAAAAUAAAACAGGGAAUCUAAAUAUACUACUAAACCAUAUAAUGGCCACCAAACUCGGAAUCCUAAUGAACAUUGGUCAGAGCAUUAAGGAAAGUGCUUAAAAGAAGGGCUUCAUCUGAAAAUUUGACAUUGAGGCAUAUUUAUGAUGAAGAAGCUAGAAGGUAAGAAAUCCUGAAACUUCUAACUCUUAUCCUUAUUAGAGUGCUGAAAGUAUCAUGCGAGUAGCCAAAAGAUCAUCUCUGCCAUCUCUACCCCAUUCUCUGGUUGAUUUGGCUAGUAUUUUUGAUGAAGGACGUUUACAUCGGUACUCUUGCUAUGGUGAGAUCAUGUUCAAGGGUUGUUUGUAUGAUGUGGGUGGCAAAGCAAGCAUGAUUUUUUCAUGCACCCACCUCAUUAUUGCAAUUAGUUUUGGCUAACAAUAUUGAAGAAGUCCAUGUAGAUCCCAUUUUUAAGGUUGUGCCGUCAAAUAUGGGAAGUCAGUUGUUAACUGUUCAUUGUAUGAUUGACAAUUACGUAUGUUUAAUUUUAAUAUUAUUGAAAUUUUGUACUUUUUAAUCAAAAUUACCAGGUAACUCAAAAAUAAGAAAUUAUUUAAAAUAUAUAUUACAAUUAUUUUGAACUGCUUUAUUACUAAUAUAAUAAAAUUGCAAAUUAAAUGUUCUAAAACUUCAUUUUAUUAGUUCCUGACUAAUUAUUUAUCAAUAUAGUUAGUAGCUACAUACUACUGUUAUCUUUGUGUAAAAUUAUAAAAUAUACCAUAAUAUGACAACCAUAAAAUAUUAUAUUAGCCUUUAUAUAGGAUCCAAGACAGUAAAACUUGAAAUAUUUUUUGUGUUUAGUCUAUACCUAUACUUUACUCAUUUACUGCCUUAUGGAGUGUAAAACAAGAAACACCUACAACUGCCUUUUCAACUUUUUAAAGACUUUUCUGUUGGCCAACCUUAAUCCAUUCAUCAUAAUAACGGAUUAUGAAACUGCUCUUAGAGAUACUCUCACAUUUAUAUUCCCGACUGCACGAAUCACAAGUUAUUGGUUUCACCACAACCAAGCAAGUUCAUCGAUAAAGUUAUAAUGAAGUAAAAUAAUAUUUACUAAAGACAAAAAAAAACUUACUUAACCUAGUUUACUAAUUAA
Long non-coding RNA from Rhopalosiphum padi (bird cherry-oat aphid), 1260 nucleotides. RefSeq lists it as uncharacterized. The transcript is spliced from 3 exons. The record is from RefSeq and is a predicted model, not a curated record. Lineage: Eukaryota; Metazoa; Arthropoda; Insecta; Hemiptera; Aphididae.